UUUAAAUUGAGAGUUUGAUCCUGGCUCAGGAUGAACGCUGGCGGCGUGCUUAACACAUGCAAGUCGAGCGAUGAAGUUUCCUUCGGGAAACGGAUUAGCGGCGGACGGGUGAGUAACACGUGGGUAACCUGCCUCAUAGAGUGGAAUAGCCUUCCGAAAGGAAGAUUAAUACCGCAUAACGUUGAAAAAUGGCAUCAUCAUUCAACCAAAGGAGCAAUCCGCUAUGAGAUGGACCCGCGGCGCAUUAGCUAGUUGGUGGGGUAACGGCCUACCAAGGCGACGAUGCGUAGCCGACCUGAGAGGGUGAUCGGCCACAUUGGGACUGAGACACGGCCCAGACUCCUACGGGAGGCAGCAGUGGGGAAUAUUGCACAAUGGGGGAAACCCUGAUGCAGCAACGCCGCGUGAGUGAUGAAGGUUUUCGGAUCGUAAAGCUCUGUCUUUGGGGAAGAUAAUGACGGUACCC
Molecule: ribosomal RNA, 466 nt
Filed under: Clostridium perfringens
Lineage: Bacteria; Bacillati; Bacillota; Clostridia; Eubacteriales; Clostridiaceae
Description: bacterial SSU rRNA
Rfam family: Bacterial small subunit ribosomal RNA
Source: RNAcentral